This 253-nucleotide ribosomal RNA is filed under the name uncultured bacterium. Its description in RNAcentral is "partial 16S ribosomal RNA". It matches the Rfam family "Bacterial small subunit ribosomal RNA", at positions 524 to 776 of the family's 1533-position model. The record is from RNAcentral.
UACGUAGGGUGCGAGCGUUGUCCGGAAUUAUUGGGCGUAAAGAGCUCGUAGGCGGCCUGUCGCGUCGGAUGUGAAAGCCCGGGGCUCAACCCCGGGUCUGCAUUCGAUACGGGCAGGCUGGAGUGUGGCAGGGGAGAUCGGAAUUCCUGGUGUAGCGGUGAAAUGCGCAGAUAUCAGGAGGAACACCGGUGGCGAAGGCGGAUCUCUGGGCCAUUACUGACGCUGAGGAGCGAAAGCGUGGGGAGCGAACAGG